UGGAUGUGACGCAUGAUUUGUUGCAUAGUCAUGCAAAUUUCGCUUUUGCGUGACUCUAAAAUGUGAUUGGUUAAGCGUUUGCAUCUGUUUUGAUGUCCAAGCAUUUGAUUGGCUAACGAUUCAAACGCAGUUUGUUUGAAAGAUUUCUAAACUGUCGAGCUUCUUCGAAUUACUCAUUUCUUUCACGCGUAUGUACGGUUCGUUUUGUGAAUAUUUUACUUCGAUCUUUGAUCAGGAAUCUCGAGAUUUUUUCAGAAUUUAUAAUCACUUCGAAAAGCCAAGAGAGGGAUUAGUUCGUGUUUCUUUACACUGGUAGCCGAUAAGCGUGAUAAGAAACUAACAACUCCGAGCAACGAUGCAUAGGGCAACUUCAAGGGAAAGGUUCGGUUCUGCAAAAGUUCCAAAAGAACUGGAUCAGUAUAUUGUGGAUCCUACUACGAAAAAGCGUUAUCACCGUGGCCGUUUCCUUGGCAAGGGAGGAUUUGCAAAAUGCUACGAACUCACCGAUAUGGAGACGAAGGAGAUCUUGGCUGGGAAGAUCAUUUCAAAGACCAUGUUGACGAAACCGCACCAAAAAGAAAAGAUGUCCAUGGAAAUUGCCAUUCAUCGCUCGGUGGGACAAAAGAAAAGCCUCGGCUCGGAGCCGCACAAAUAAAUCGUUGGUUUUCGUGGAUUUUUCGAAGAUGAUGACUACAUAUAUAUCCUGUUGGAGUUUUGCAGACGAAGGUCCAUGAUGGAACUUCACAAACGUCGCAAAGCCUUGACUGAACCAGAAGUCAGAUAUUUCAUGAAGCAAAUUGUCGAGGGCACUAAAUAUCUCCAUGACAAUAAAAUCAUUCACCGAGAUCUCAAGCUUGGAAAUUUAUUCCUGAAUGAUGAGAUGGAUGUCAAGAUUGGAGAUUUUGGCCUGGCAACCAGAGUUGAGAUUGAUGGGGAAAGGAAAAAGUAAGAUACCUAUUAAAGAAAGCUUCGAGCAUGGGAACAAGAUAGCUCUAUAUUAAAAGAAUGAAAAUGUCUUGUGGUAAAGAGCAAAUGGGGAACAAAUACAAAAAUGUGCAAUUACAAGCACAUAUUGAAAUUUUGGUUUCCUGAUACAUGUUUCCAUCAUGUGAUAUCAUGUGGUUGUCACUAUCAAACAGUUCUCAAACAAAGAUUAUAACUUAACCAAAGUAAAGUGCACGCUCUGAGUGGUCAAUUUAGCGUCCCCCAUUUGCCCAUGGGUGUAC
Stylophora pistillata is the source of this 1226-nucleotide long non-coding RNA. The record is from RefSeq and is a predicted model, not a curated record. NCBI's taxonomy places the organism in Eukaryota, Metazoa, Cnidaria, Anthozoa, Scleractinia, Pocilloporidae.